GGUCUGUGUUCGGGAUAUUUAUUCCUAGUGCUAGGCUUUUUGCAAUGUUUAGUUUGUAGUAGGAGCAUUUACUGUAUUGGGAGAGGAUUUUGUGGAAGUUGGGCAAUGACACGCGUGGUUGUUCAAGGGUUAGAAGAAUGUCAUCUGCAAACAGGGACAUUUUGUAUUCUCGUCCGUUCACCCUAAUCCCACGUAUGGCUGGGUGUUCGCGUAUAAGGUGGGUGAGGGGUUCCAGCGCUAUGAUGUAAAGCAAUGGGGAGAGUGGGCAGCCCUGUCUGGAGCCAUUAGAGAUGCUGAAUGGUUUUGAUAUAAAUCC
Molecule: non-coding RNA, 316 nt
Organism: Pelobates cultripes (western spadefoot toad)
Lineage: Eukaryota; Metazoa; Chordata; Amphibia; Anura; Pelobatidae
Source: the annotation of a GenBank genome assembly